This is a long non-coding RNA of Bos taurus (domestic cattle), 761 nucleotides long. The record is from Ensembl. NCBI's taxonomy places the organism in Eukaryota, Metazoa, Chordata, Mammalia, Artiodactyla, Bovidae.
GACGUCAAAAAUGUUAUCUCCGUUUUUGAAGUGCGGAAAUGGACUUGAAACUGAGAGAUGAAUUGUCUCACCCAAGCUGACAAGAGCUCUGGAUUCGAACCCAAGACUCCUGUCUGCAGAUCCAGAUGGGUGAGCAGGAAAAGUGAUUCCAUUCAGAUGCCUGUUGUCCUUCUGACACUGGUUGAGCAGGAUCAAGAUGGACUAGUGGCCGGAAGCCUGGAAGGUACGCUCCAGACGGGGCACAGAAAAGUGGAGGAGCUUGUCCAAGGUCACAUCACCAGUAAAUGAUGAAGACUUCCGUGGUCAGAGGAUGAGAUGGUUGGAUGGCAUCACCGACUCGGUGGACAUGAGUUUGAGUAAGCUCCAGGAGUUGGUGAUGGACAGGGAAGCCUGGCGUGCUGCAGUCCGUGGGGUCGCAAAGAGUUGGACAGGGCUGAGCGACUGAACUGAACUCCCUGGUGGUCCAGUGAUUAAGAAUCCAUCUGUCAAUGCAGGGGACACGGGUUCUAUCCUUGGCCCGGGAAGACCCCAUACCCCGCAGGGCAACUAAGCCGGCGCACCACAACUUCUGAGCCUGCGCUCUAGAGCCCUUGAACCGGAACUACUGCGCCUGAACGCUGCAGCUACUGAAGUCCAUGCGCCUAGAGCCUGUGCUCCACAACAAAGGAAACUGCCGCAACGAGAAGCCAGGGCACCACAACAGAGAGCGGCCCCCACUCGAGGCAACUAGAGAAAGCCCACAAAGCAACAAACACCUGUGC